UUAGAGCUAACCUCCUCGUCCCUAAAAAACAUCCCCGUACCCACACCUCAUCCACCCAAAUCACGCAGCCAAAAAUUCUAUCUACCAUCUCUCCCCCCGAAUCCCCUCUCACUCACCCGCGACUUCCAUGGCCAGCCGCCGCACCUUUGAUUCUAGAUAGAUCCGGCGCUGUCCCGCGCCGUCCCUCGUAGGCCAGGCUCCCCCUCAAUUGUAUCUUCCUAUAUUCUGCUGCGGCGACGUCGUCCGUGCCACUGCAAGCAUCCCCGCGGUAACCCUAGCCGCCACGGAUCGCCGGCUCAGCUCGCCCGCCUCUGUCUUGGAGGCCACUACCCCGCGUUGCUGCUGCUGGCUCGAACAUGGUUCUGAAACAAGUUGUUGUGUCGGGUGCUGAUCCUUCUCUCGGUGGUGGCCUGCAGUGGAGACAGGUCCGAGGUUAGCGGAGCCGGGGGUGUAGCUUCGGUCGUGUUCCUCGAGACCUCGACUAUCAAUUGGAUCCCUCCAGUGUGGGUGGUUCUUGCGGCUCGCAAAGCCUUCAGUGGCGAUGCUUCAGGGGCAGAUGGAAGGAAAUGUACAGCUUAAUUACGACAAGGUCGCAAAAAGUGUGGUAACCCAUUCGCUUACUUGGUUGAGAAUUUCAAUACUAGAUGAUUAAUUGGAACCUUGGAGAAUGUAUGAUGAUUCUUGGUACUUGGAGGAGAAACAAGACAGUUCUAUGAAUGUUUAGAAAUUUCAUUUUUUUCUAAGAAAGUGAUGUACUCGUAGUUGAUGAUACUUGCAUUGUAAUAACAGAUUGUUUUGUUGAAUCAAUAUAUGACUUCCAUUUCUACUCUAUCGAAUCUUACUAAA
Long non-coding RNA from Triticum aestivum (bread wheat), 846 nucleotides. RefSeq lists it as uncharacterized. The record is from RefSeq and is a predicted model, not a curated record. Lineage: Eukaryota; Viridiplantae; Streptophyta; Magnoliopsida; Poales; Poaceae. The transcript has 3 exons.